ACGCUGAAGCUUGGUGCUUGCACCGAGCGGAUGAGUUGCGAACGGGUGAGUAACGCGUAGGUAACCUGCCUCUUAGCGGGGGAUAACUAUUGGAAACGAUAGCUAAUACCGCAUAAAAGUCGACAUCGCAUGAUGUUGACUUGAAAGGUGCAAUUGCAUCACUAAGAGAUGGACCUGCGUUGUAUUAGCUAGUUGGUGAGGUAACGGCUCACCAAGGCGACGAUACAUAGCCGACCUGAGAGGGUGAUCGGCCACACUGGGACUGAGACACGGCCCAGACUCCUACGGGAGGCAGCAGUAGGGAAUCUUCGGCAAUGGGGGCAACCCUGACCGAGCAACGCCGCGUGAGUGAAGAAGGUUUUCGGAUCGUAAAGCUCUGUUGUAAGAGAAGAACGAGUGUGAGAGUGGAAAGUUCACACUGUGACGGUAACUUACCAGAAAGGGACGGCUAACUACGUGCCAGCAGCCGCGGUAAUACGUAGGUCCCGAGCGUUAUCCGGAUUUAUUGGGCGUAAAGCGAGCGCAGGCGGUUAGAUAAGUCUGAAGUUAAAGGCUGUGGCUUAACCAUAGUACGCUUUGGAAACUGUUUAACUUGAGUGCAGAAGGGGAGAGUGGAACUCCAUGUGUAGCGGUGAAAUGCGUAGAUAUAUGGAGGAACACCGGUGGC
RNAcentral lists this ribosomal RNA (667 nucleotides) under uncultured Bacilli bacterium. RNAcentral's name for it is "bacterial SSU rRNA". It matches the Rfam family "Bacterial small subunit ribosomal RNA", at positions 66 to 716 of the family's 1533-position model. Lineage: Bacteria; Bacillati; Bacillota; Bacilli. The record is from RNAcentral.